GUGGCAGUGUCAUAGUCAGUGAGGUUUAUUUGAGGCACAGUAUUAUUGCUAAUUUAUCUUUUCCC
RNAcentral lists this small nuclear RNA (65 nucleotides) under Cervus elaphus hippelaphus. The record is from RNAcentral. Lineage: Eukaryota; Metazoa; Chordata; Mammalia; Artiodactyla; Cervidae.